This 433-nucleotide ribosomal RNA is filed under the name uncultured bacterium. RNAcentral's name for it is "partial 16S ribosomal RNA". It matches the Rfam family "Bacterial small subunit ribosomal RNA", at positions 29 to 507 of the family's 1533-position model. The record is from RNAcentral.
AACGAACGCUGGCGGCAUGCCUAACACAUGCAAGUCGAACGAGACCUUCGGGUCUAGUGGCGCACGGGUGCGUAACGCGUGGGAACCUGCCCUUAGGUUCGGAAUAACUCCCCGAAAGGGGUGCUAAUACCGGAUAAUGUCUUCGGACCAAAGAUUUAUCGCCUUUGGAUGGGCCCGCGUUGGAUUAGCUAGUUGGUAGGGUAAAAGCCUACCAAGGCGACGAUCCAUAGCUGGUCUGAGAGGAUGAUCAGCCACACUGGGACUGAGACACGGCUCAGACUCCUACGGGAGGCAGCAGUGGGGAAUAUUGGACAAUGGGCGAAAGCCUGAUCCAGCAAUGCCGCGUGAGUGAUGAAGGCCUUAGGGUUGCAAAGCUCUUUUACCCGGGAUGAUAAUGACAGUACCGGGAGAAUAAGCUCCGGCUAACUCCGUG